AGCUCUAGCCAUAAUUCCCUGAACACGCCUGAUCUUGGAUGCCAAGCAAGGUUAGCUCUGGUUAGUAUUUGAAUGGAAGAGCUACAGUUU
This 90-nucleotide ribosomal RNA is filed under the name Mesocricetus auratus (golden hamster). Lineage: Eukaryota; Metazoa; Chordata; Mammalia; Rodentia; Cricetidae. The record is from RNAcentral.